GAGACAGGGUCUCACUAUGCAGUCUUAACUGUCCUUCUAUAGGGCAAGUAUUUCCACAGUACUUAAACCAAAUAAAGAUAAUAUACACAAAUAUACCUGUAGGACAGUAGUGGUACAUGCCUGUAAUCCCAGCAUUCAGGAGGCAGAGAUAGGUGAAUUACUGUGAGUUAGAGAACAGCCUGGUCUACAGAGUGAGACAAUAUCUCAAAAACAAAAGCCCCAAUAGCAACCCCCAAACCAACAGCAAAACAAACAACAACAAAAAACUUCAAACAAACAGGGUAGCGACAUGAGUAGAAACCUCUACAAAGAAGAUACACAAAUGGCAAAUAGGCUCGUGUGCCUGUGUGCACAUGUACACCCCCCCACCAAGU
Molecule: long non-coding RNA, 374 nt
Filed under: Mus pahari (shrew mouse)
Lineage: Eukaryota; Metazoa; Chordata; Mammalia; Rodentia; Muridae
Description: predicted gene, 26952 (MGP_PahariEiJ_G0004020.1)
Source: RNAcentral